CAUUUCCAUGUGCAGUCAUUUCUUAUAUACUGUCUUAUUUUCUUCUUUGCCUACAGCACAAAAUUUGACAAUUAACUGCUCACCAUCUUGUACAUUACUCCAGUGUGUCUAUUGUACGUAGAUGUGCUCCCUGUUUUGGGCUGAAUUGUGUUCCCCUGCGUGCCCCCUGCCCCAGAUUUAUAUGUUGAAGUCCCAACCCCUAGUUAGUGUGCCUAUAUUUGGAGAUAAGGUCUUUAAAGAGGUAAUUAGGGCUGCAUGAGGUCCUUGGGAUGGGCCCUAAUCCAAUGUGACCAGAGUCCUCAUGGGAAGAUGAGGUUAGCACAGAGACAGGACACAGAGGGAAGAGCAUGUGAAGACGUAGGGAGAAGACGGCCAUCUACAAGCCAAGGACAGAGGCCUCAGAAGAAAGCAACCCUGAUGACACAUUGAUCUUGGACUUCUAGCCUCCAGAACUGUGAGAAAAUAAAUUUCUGGGGGCCAGCCCCAUGGCUGAGUGGUUAAGUUUGUGCGCUCUGCUGCAGCGGCCCAGGGUUUUGCCAGUCCGGAUCCUGGGUGCAGACAUGGCACUGCUCAUCAGGCCAUGCUGAGACAGCAUCCCACAUAGCACAACCAGAGGCACUGACAACUAGAAUACACAACUGUGUACCGGGGGGAUUUGGGGAGAAGAAGAAGAAAAAAUAUUGGCAACAGAUGUUAGCUCAGGUGCCAGUCUUUAACAAAAAAAAAAGACACGACAUUUCUGUUGUUGAAGCCACACAAUCUGUGGUGCUUUGUUAUGGCAGCCCCAGGAAACUAACACACUCCCUUCCUUCAUUUGUGUAGUCAGCAACACAUACACAGUGAUCACCUACUGUGUGCAGGGCUCCUUGGAUGCACACUGAUGCUUGAUUCCCAGGCCUGCCUGCUUCCCUUUCCCACCAACUGCUCUGCUCGCCUGCAGUGGGGCUGUGAGCCAGCUUGUCCCUGUCAGCUAUUUAUAAACAUUCCCAGCCCCCGUUCCCCCUUCUCCUCCGCCUCAGUCCCCUCAAGAAAGCUGUCCCCAAGCUGCGGCCUGACCCCCUGCCCUCCUCCUGCAUGCUCACGCUCUCACUCCCCGGCAGUGGUUCUCAACAGGGCUUCCCCGGAUCCUCUGUGAACAGCAUCCAGGCUCAGCCCUUUCCACCCAGCCCUGCCUUCUCCCCAGCCUGCCCUUCCAAAUGACCUUCUGGACAUGUCCACGGGCCGGUCUUCCAUCGCUUUCGACAUGAACAGCUUCUUCACGUCUCCAGCUCUGGAGAGCAGGUCUAUUCUCCUGGCCACCCUGGCUCAGUUUUGACUUCUCCCUUUCUUCACCAUCAGCCACCAAAUCCUGUUGAUUCAGCCUUCAAUCUGUCUCCCAUGUCUGCCCUUCCACCCCACCUCCGGGCCCCUGCUCGGGCCGGGCCUCUUCUCUCCUGAAGGUCUGUCUUAGGAGAACUCAGAGGGUUUGCUGAGGAAGUACAAGGGGAGAAGGCAGAGUAACGGCUGGAAGAGCGGCAGGCUUCCCCCUGCCCCGAUUAGAGGACAGGAGGGAGAGACAGGCAGAUGGAGGAGGAGGGACGGAGGCCUGUGAGUCUGAGGGCAGAGGGGCCCAUCUCCUGUGUCCCUGGGGAGUGUCCAGACCAAGAGAGGAACGCCCUUGGCCUGGUGCCCCCAGGAUGAUGGGCCCAGGGUGGCAUCACAUAAGAAUCAGAGCCCAAAGGCAGCCCCAAGCUGUGGGGAGCAGGCACCCUCAAGGAUUCAGGAGUCUUGCAGCCACAAUGUAGGUUGUUGACCGAUGACCCUCUGCUCCCCGACGCUGGCCUCAGCUCUGUGCAACGACCUGGGUGGAGGCAUGGAGUGGGAGAGCGCACUGCAAAGAGGGCUGAGGUGAAACCCAUCAGGGUGGAGACUGGGGGCCGAGACUGAGCAAGACUGAGCUCCAUCCCCUCUGAAGCUCAGCGAUGAACUGGACUUGGAAAUUUCCGACAUGCAUGGGCAUGGCAUUUGUUUCCAUUUACUUCUUAGGUGGAAAGUACAAAGACUUCCAAACCAGACGUCAGGCAACCCUGGGCCCGGGUGAGGGCUGGAGAGACCUUCCAGAGCUCCAGCCCUGUCCCCAGCCCACACAGGCACAUGUCCACCCCCUCCAAGGGGAGAGAGAGGAGCAGCGUCUUCACCGGGAUCUGUGCUGUCACUGCAGUCUGGCUGGAGGUGGAGGUGGGGGACAUAGGGAGGGCGGCAGUGUGCUGGGUGCGGAGGACCAUGGGAGGCCAGGAGUGCUAAGUCGGGCUCCAAAAGAAUGUUUCCAUGGACUCCCAGGAGAACAAAGUGAAUGAAUGAGGAUAACACAGAGGGACGGGUGCUGCUACCAGGCGGGAUGACUCGACCUGAACAAAUGGCCAAGGCUGACAUCGAACGAAGUCUACACCAUCACCCUCAGGCUCUGCCAUCCUGCCUGUGACCCCCUGAGGGACCCAGCUCCAAAUCCAGUUCCCAGGCGGCUUCACCAGGCCCCAGGUCUCCCUCUUGGCGGGUCCUAGACUUCCCAGCAGGCAGGGCCUUCAUCACGUCCGGGGAAACAUAUAUCCAACAGGCGCCCCCAGCAGACAUCCAAGACCUCACUGCAGCAGGAGCCCAGAAACGGAAGAGGCCCCUGGCUUCACGCUGGGAGGAGCUGGGAGGUCCCCUAGCCUGCUGUGUUUCCAAGAUGCUCCACUGGGGGGCGCAAGCGGCUUCCCUUGCAGGGACAGUCCCAGGAGUUUCCCACUUGACCCCGGUGCUCCUUCCUCCCCAUGACUGAACCCGUUCCCUAAACCUUUGGACCCCAAGAUCUUCCCUUUCUAGGUUAGAAGCUGCCCUCUAACUUGAGGCCUUCCCCUCUCUGACCCACAUUCCCCCUCCUCCUUCUGAUCCCACAUUCUCCAACACUCACAGCUCCCCAGCUUCAGCCAAAAGACCCCCACUCACGAUGAUCGAGGGGGCUCCAGCCUCCGCACUGCUCACUCUGUAGCUGUCCCGUGGCCUGGCGGUGGUGGCAGCGGGGGAAGGGUCUCCUGAAGCUGAGAGGGACAGAGGAAGCAUCUCCAUGGGCUCCCCUGUCCAGCAGGCAGACCGCGGUCGCUGAAGCCCACAGGUGCCGUCCUGGCCCACAGGAGGAGGGGGUGAGGCUGCCUAGUGGAAGCAAGCUGUCAAUCUUUGGUGUCUGUCCGAGUCGCCUAGUUGCUGCUUGCAACCCCAGAGGUUCUGAGCCAGCAGGACUGGGGUGGAGCCCGCGAACGUGCAUUUCUAACAAGUUCCCAGAAAAGAGGCCGUGUGAGGACAGAGAGAGAAGGUGGCCGUCUGCAAGCCAGGAAGAGAGGCCUCACCAGACACCAACCCUGCCGACACCCUGAUCAGGGACUUGCAGCCUCCAGAACUGUAGAAAAUAAUAAAUGUCUCUUGUUGAAGCCACUUGGUCCGUGGUAUUCUCUCACGGCAGCCCAAGCUGAGUAACACACGAGGGUCCCUUGGUUAAAUGUUUGGGAAAGGCAUGUUCAAUACUGAUCCU
Molecule: long non-coding RNA, 3547 nt
Filed under: Equus caballus (horse)
Lineage: Eukaryota; Metazoa; Chordata; Mammalia; Perissodactyla; Equidae
Description: lncRNA (ENSECAG00000053582.1)
Source: RNAcentral